GAUGAACGCUGGCGGCAUGCCUAAUACAUGCAAGUCGAGCGAACAGACGAGGAGCUUGCUCCUCUGACGUUAGCGGCGGACGGGUGAGUAACACGUGGAUAACCUACCUAUAAGACUGGGAUAACUUCGGGAAACCGGAGCUAAUACCGGAUAAUAUAUUGAACCGCAUGGUUCAAUAGUGAAAGACGGUUUUGCUGUCACUUAUAGAUGGAUCCGCGCCGCAUUAGCUAGUGGGUAAGGUAACGGCUUACCAAGGCAACGAUGCGUAGCCGACCUGAGAGGGUGAUCGGCCACACUGGAACUGAGACACGGUCCAGACUCCUACGGGAGGCAGCAGUAGGGAAUCUUCCGCAAUGGGCGAAAGCCUGACGGAGCAACGCCGCGUGAGUGAUGAAGGUCUUCGGAUCGUAAAACUCUGUUAUUAGGGAAGAACAAAUGUGUAAGUAACUAUGCACGUCUUGACGGUACCUAAUCAGAAAGCAACGGCUAACUACGUG
RNAcentral lists this ribosomal RNA (497 nucleotides) under uncultured bacterium. Its description in RNAcentral is "partial 16S ribosomal RNA". It matches the Rfam family "Bacterial small subunit ribosomal RNA", at positions 28 to 507 of the family's 1533-position model. The record is from RNAcentral.